CAGCCGUAAACAAUGUGCGUUAGGUGUGUCGGUAACCACGCGUUACUGAUGCGCCAAAGAGAAAUCGUGAAACGCACCACCUGGGAAGUACGGUCGCAAGGCUGAAACUUAAAGGAAUUGGCGGGGGAGCACCACAACAGGUGGAGCCUGCGGUUUAAUUGGAUUCAACGCCGGACAUCUCACCGGAUAAGACAGCUGAAUGAUUGUCAAUCUGAAGGUUUUACAUGACUAGCUGAGAGGUGGUGCAUGGCGUCAGUGACU
RNAcentral lists this ribosomal RNA (261 nucleotides) under uncultured archaeon. RNAcentral's name for it is "partial 16S ribosomal RNA". It matches the Rfam family "Archaeal small subunit ribosomal RNA", at positions 748 to 1008 of the family's 1478-position model. The record is from RNAcentral.